Molecule: ribosomal RNA, 236 nt
Filed under: uncultured bacterium
Lineage: Bacteria
Description: partial 16S ribosomal RNA
Rfam family: Bacterial small subunit ribosomal RNA
Source: RNAcentral
GAUCAUGGCUCAGGAUGAACGCUAGCUACAGGCUUAACACAUGCAAGUCGGAGGGGCAGCAUGAACUUAGCUUGCUAAGUUUGAUGGCGACCGGCGCACGGGUGAGUAACACGUAUCCAACCUGCCGAUGACUCGGGGAUAGCCUUUCGAAAGAAAGAUUAAUACCCGAUGGCAUAGUUCUUCCGCAUGGUAGAACUAUUAAAGAAUUUCGGUCAUCGAUGGGGAUGCGUUCCUAG